RNAcentral lists this small nucleolar RNA (221 nucleotides) under Physcomitrium patens. RNAcentral describes it as "snoRNA Plant_U3". Lineage: Eukaryota; Viridiplantae; Streptophyta; Bryopsida; Funariales; Funariaceae. The record is from RNAcentral.
GCAAUUAUAAUUGAACAUAAGUUUUUCUGUAGUUCGCACAUAUAAUCUGUGCUAUCCACCACAGGCUACACCUUCAAUCUGGACGAUGAUGAGAAACUCAGUCCGAGGUACUAAUACUGCUUCCAACCUUCUAGACUUCAUGCUCGAAGCCAAUGUGCUUGACGAACGUUCCACCUUCCUACUUUGCUGGUUGUGAUGGAUGGAGAGUAUUCUGACAGGUA